This 532-nucleotide ribosomal RNA is filed under the name uncultured bacterium. Its description in RNAcentral is "bacterial SSU rRNA". It matches the Rfam family "Bacterial small subunit ribosomal RNA", at positions 355 to 896 of the family's 1533-position model. The record is from RNAcentral.
UGGGGAAUAUUGCACAAUGGGCGCAAGCCUGAUGCAGCGACGCCGCGUGAGGGAUGACGGCCUUCGGGUUGUAAACCUCUGUUAGCAGGGAGGAAGAGAGAUUGACGGUACCUGCAGAGAAAGCGCCGGCUAACUACGUGCCAGCAGCCGCGGUAAUACGUAGGGCGCGAGCGUUGUCCGGAAUUAUUGGGCGUAAAGAGCUUGUAGGCGGUUUGUCGCGUCUGCUGUGAAAGGCCGGGGCUUAACUCCGUGUAUUGCAGUGGGUACGGGCAGACUAGAGUGCAGUAGGGGAGACUGGAAUUCCUGGUGUAGCGGUGGAAUGCGCAGAUAUCAGGAGGAACACCGAUGGCGAAGGCAGGUCUCUGGGCUGUAACUGACGCUGAGAAGCGAAAGCAUGGGGAGCGAACAGGAUUAGAUACCCUGGUAGUCCAUGCCGUAAACGUUGGGCACUAGGUGUGGGGGACAUUCCACGUUUUCCGCGCCGUAGCUAACGCAUUAAGUGCCCCGCCUGGGGAGUACGGCCGCAAGGCUA